This 319-nucleotide ribosomal RNA is filed under the name uncultured Coriobacteriales bacterium. RNAcentral's name for it is "bacterial SSU rRNA". It matches the Rfam family "Bacterial small subunit ribosomal RNA", at positions 1 to 339 of the family's 1533-position model. The record is from RNAcentral. Lineage: Bacteria; Bacillati; Actinomycetota; Coriobacteriia; Coriobacteriales.
AGUAGUUUGAUCAUGGCUCAGACGACGCUGGCGGCGUGCUUAACACAUGCAAGUCGAACGGGCACUUCGGUGCUAGUGGCGAACGGGUGAGUAAAGCGCAGGUAAUCUGCCGCAAAGUCGGGGACAACGUUGCGAAAGUGACGCUAAUACCGGAUGUUGUGCGGAGUUCGCAUGGAUUCUGUACUAAAGAUUUAUCGCUUUGCGAGGAGCCUGCGUCCGAUUAGCUAGUUGGUGGGGUAAGAGCCUACCAAGGCGACGAUCGGUAGCCGGUCUGAGAGGAUGAACGGUCACAAUGGAACUGAGACACGGUCCAUACUCC